This is a long non-coding RNA of Hordeum vulgare subsp. vulgare (domesticated barley), 857 nucleotides long. RefSeq lists it as uncharacterized. The transcript is spliced from 2 exons. Lineage: Eukaryota; Viridiplantae; Streptophyta; Magnoliopsida; Poales; Poaceae. The record is from RefSeq and is a predicted model, not a curated record.
UCACACCGCCCCACCCACCAAACACAAUUAUUCUCUCAUCUUCUCUCUUCUCCUCCUUUCCCCUCACCAAACUCCAUCCAGAUCUGGGCCGCCGUCACUCUAUCUCUUUCGCCAUGUGUGCAUCAUCUUCCUCUUAUUCUAAUCACAUGUCCAUACUGCAAGAGGGGAGAUGUGGAAUGGUGGGUGUCCCGCACCAAGCUGAACCCCAGAAGACACUUCUACAAGUGCGAGCAUCACUAGAAAGGCAAAUGUUCUUUCUAGAUGUGGGAAGAUGUCGAAAUCGAUGUUCUCAGAGCCAAGUGGCCCAAGCUGUUCAUCCCUAUCGCCAUCCGGCCCAAUAACAGUGGCCCCAAUAGGAUCUUGAUCCUCGUCGCUGGUAUUUUGAACCUCGUUUUUCUUCACCUUACUCCAAAGAAGAACGGAAGCUGAAGCUGAAGUUGUUCAUCCCUAUCGCCAUCGAACCCAAUAACAGCUACCCCACUAUGAUCUUGAUCCUCAUAGCCGGUAUCCUCAACCUCGUUAUUUUUCUUCACCUUACACUGGUGCAACGGCGUGCUAUACAAACAGUUUUUAACCCCUUUCCGUGAUGGCAUUUUAAACCGUCGCCUAGUGAGUGUGGGCGAUAGGGGGGGUCCUUCUCACACGACCCAAAAAUCAAUGGGCAUAGGGAGCCAUGAUGCAGACGCGUUGCGAAAUGUAAUCGCAUGCGAUGCAGCAACACAUCACACACACAACAUUCUCGAAUAGGUGUGUGAUUGGUGAUCAAAUGUUUCUAAUGAUGAAGUGAAACCAAACGGUGCUUCAUACUGAACCGUUUGGGAACAAUAUCUAAGGCACACGAGCCAACUUAUGAACUA